UACCAGCUCUCCGAGUUGUAGGGAUGAUUAUUGGGCUUAAAGCGUCCGUAGCUGGCUUAGCAAGUCUCCUGUUAAAUUCAGCGACCUAAUCGUUGAGCCGCGGGAGAUACUACUAGGCUAGGAGGCGGGAGAGGUCGACGGUACUUUCGGGGUAGGGGUGAAAUCCUAUAAUCCCGGGAGGACCACCAGUGGCGAAGGCUGUCGACUAGAACGCGCUCGACGGUGAGGGACGAAAGCUGGGGGAGCGAACCGGAUUAGAUACCCGGGUAGUCCCAGCUGUAAACUAUGCGGGCUAGGUGUUGGGGUGGCUACGGGCCACUUCAGUGCCGCAGGAAAGCCAUUAAGCCCGCCGCCUGGGGAGUACGGCCGCAAGGCUGAAACUUAAAGGAAUUGGCGGGGGAGCACCGACAAGGGGUGAAGCUUGCGGUUU
RNAcentral lists this ribosomal RNA (430 nucleotides) under uncultured archaeon. RNAcentral's name for it is "bacterial SSU rRNA". It matches the Rfam family "Archaeal small subunit ribosomal RNA", at positions 474 to 903 of the family's 1478-position model. The record is from RNAcentral.